Long non-coding RNA from Harpia harpyja (harpy eagle), 9429 nucleotides. RefSeq lists it as uncharacterized. The transcript has 6 exons. The record is from RefSeq and is a predicted model, not a curated record. Lineage: Eukaryota; Metazoa; Chordata; Aves; Accipitriformes; Accipitridae.
GGAGAGUAUCUGAAGUUUUUCAGCCUUGCUUUGCAUUAGCAGCAAGGAACGUAGUGCAUAUUGUACUUAUGAGGAGCAUAAGAGCCAGGAGGCACAACGUGUAUCUAGCUGUGUUGGGUGCUUUGGACCAGACGUGAGAAGUUCAGGGAGAUGUGGAUCACCACAGGAUGGCGUAUCGUGGCUUGUAAAGCACAGAACGGUAUUUAAUGAGCAGUUGGUAAUACUGACUGAAGUGCGGCUGAACUAUGUUCAUCCUGUUACAUCUAUUGCUAGAAAUUUCUAAUGUUUUCUUUCCUUUCACUUGCAAUGUUACCUCUUCCUUUCAGAGUAAAUGCUAACUUUCCAGAGUGAGGUUUGGACUUCAUUGUACUAAUAACCUUAAAACUGAUAAAAAGAGGCAGAUGCUCUUUGGUUAUAAGAAUAACACAAUCCCAUGCUAGAGGAGACUUUGAUCAAAUUUACUGACAACCUGAAAUGAACGAAAAGGCCCUACUCGUAGCAAGAGAGCUUUUCUAGGAGUAUAUUGCAUAUUGGCUGUUUUCCAAGCUCCGUGAAAUCUUUUAGAAGCAUGCUGUGACAUAUUUCAGUUGGUUUUAGUGAACUGCAGUGUACAAGCUGGGGUUUUUUCCUGCAGCGCUGAUGCUGCAGCAUUCCCAUCAGGCCGCGUGCAGGAAGCGUCUUUCUGUUAUUUCUCUGUGUGGGCACGCACAGACCUGGAUCUUGGAGAAUUUGCAGCGGCUUCAGCUCUGUAACCUGCAGCGCAAGGGGAACAUCGGCCUGCACGGAGAGAGCGUCCGACCACGUAGCUGUGCUCCGUUGCCACGUCCAGGCUAACUUGAUGUGGCAGCCACUGAAAGCUUGCACUGAGGAACUGGCCCAGAGGAAGCGACUCCGCACUUGUGGCUCAUCAGCCCCGGCAGGAAACAGCAGGUCAAAGUUAGAAGGAACUUACUUAAAAGCUAAUGAGUGAGUGGUGCAGCAAACACUGGGAGAAAGCAUAGUUCAAGAGCCAGCAGAGGAGCUUGGGGUUCUCUACCUUGGUCCUUAUUCCACUUGCUCUCUGUUGGUUCAUAUCUGUUUAACCAGAGAGAUGCCAAGGUGAUGAUCUAUCAGAUAAGGAUUUGUAGGUGAGACUGUGCCCUCUCCUGUUCUGCGCACAGCUCUCCCUGGAAAAUAGGGUCAGUACAGAGCACACACUAUUUAAUCUUACUCAGUAUGUUUUUAUGAAACAAAAUCCUCAUGACUUUAUAUCUCAGCUUAGCAGAUACUAGUUUUUUCAGAUGUGUGUAAGGUCAGUAGUCACAAAUGUAGCAGCCUAGAACUGCAGGACGGGUUUGACCAUUCUGUGCAAAAAUUGGUACAAUUCAGUGGCAGAAGUAGCAAUAUAUAUUGUUCCUGCCAGGUGGCGGCAGGGUUUUUUUAUAGGUAAGCUUGGGGAAGCUCACCUUGGUGGACUUUCCAAAGGGCAUGAGGUCACAUCAUUAGGCAGACUCACAUUUUGAAGUGUAUUUGUCACUGUGCAAUACAUUGGGGUUUUUUUUUAUUCCUCCUUUAGUAUUGGAAUUGGAAAUUCAAGUUGGAGAAAUGUGAAAGCAAUUGGGCCUAAUCCAUUCCUGUCAUUACUCCUUUUGUUUUCACUGGAGUUACUCCAAGGCUGAAUUCAGCAUAUGAUGAACAACUUGUUCUCCAAAGUUGGAACUUAGGGGAGAAGGUUCUAGGGAUGAUCACGCAACUCUGAGGCUCCUUCUCAAACAGCUGAAGCUCCCACAAGAGGCACAAUAUAUGGUGAGUUCAGGUUAUUGAAUUUAGUACAACAUUCUAGUAAUAAGCCCGCUAGUCAUAAUAAGACAUUAUUAUCUAUUAGAACAAUUACUUGAAUGAAACCCAACUGCUAGCUCACUUAGAUUGGAUGGAAAAAUCCUAGCUGUUGAUCUCAAUUGCCAGUUAGCUGAACAGACGCUAACUACGAGCAAACAACAAAUGGUUCUGAGGCUGGCAAUCCUCUUCCCACUUGCUUUUCCUUUCACCUUUUCUGGAGCCAGCUCCUCCAGGGUUGCCACUUGUGAAACAUUGCCUGCUCUUCAUGCAUUGACCAUCUCAGCUGCAGCCCAGGAAAGUCUCCAAAGAGGUUACAAGCCCUAGGUCUGUUUUGGUUAUAUGGAAAAAGGAGAGUGCUAUAAGCUAUCGAGAAGCUGCACAUUACCAACUGAGGACUAAGUGGUGUUUGUUUAGGUUUGUUUUUUGCAGGAGGGGAGAUAUUUCUGUUAAGAACUAAGAUGAAACUCUUCACAGAUCUGCAAGAAUGAACCAGUCCUCACUGCUGGUUAAUCCCUCCUGUGCUCCUGUGUGCCGUUGGAGGGGUCAUGGCAGACACAAGAUCCCCAUGGUAAAAUUAAGCUUUUCUUUCUUGGAAAAUAAUCAUUACUGUCUCUCUGGCUCACUCCAUUUCAUUUACUUUCUAAACAACUUUGAUCACAAAGGGCUCUAGGAGGAAUGCAGCACUUGCAGAGGAAAGUCCUGGAUUAUUUUCUUCGUUUGAGAGUCUUGUGAAAGUUGUGUUUCCUGCUCUUGCCCGGGGUGCAGUCUUCGCUGUGUGUGAUUUGGAGGGUGGGGGAUCCACCAAGCUUGCCGUGCUUGGGAGGCCAGAGUAGCUUUCUGCUGAACACCAUGAGUCCUGUCCGACUAAUGGAAAAUCUCUCUGUCCCAAAGCCCAGCUGACACCGAGGCAGGAGAACUUCUUGUAUCAGCUCUGCCGUGUUGGGGCAUAUCACCUCUGCAGCUCUGCUCAGCCAGUUUUCAGUGCCACAGCCACGGUACGUCCUUGGUCUUGCUGAGGUUGAGCACUUCUCUGUUACCCUUUGGAUAUCAUUUUCUUCCUCACCUACUUUGCUCCUGAGGUAGGGACUGGAUGCUGGCUGCUCUCCUUACUGCUUCUCCUUCCAGACCCUCUCUGUUUGCAAUGAUCCAAGCUGCAGUUAGUACCACCGCAGCCGACUGCCCUGACUACCAAGGAUGGUACAGAACAUGCUAAGAAUAGCAACAGCAUUACAGGAAGGGGCAUUUAUAGUGUUUAUUACAGCUAACUGAAAGUAGAGGAAGCACUUCCCUAACACCUUAGCUGAUGCACAGGGUGAAAUAUUUUCUUCAACAGUUACAUACUUAGUAAGUGGGAAGGAAGGAGCUUUCGCUUUUAAAACCAAAAUAAAGCAACUUCCAAUCUUACCUGCCUUAUUUCUCUCCACAACAGAAAAUGCACCCCUAAUAAGCUGGUCAGUGUAAUAAUGGUCAAUGAGAUGCUGCUUUGCUUAGAUCUGAGGAGGUUUUAGGGAGAAGGCAGAAAAUUUGAUGUAUUCCACACAGUUACUGACCUCAAGGCUCAGUGGAACAAACACCAGAUAGCCAAGGAAAACAGAAAGAAUAGUUAAAAUCUUACAAACCACAGCGCGGAGGGAUUAUCACACCAAACUUUGGUUAAAGUUCACAUUGCAAAGAGGAUCUCUGUCUUCCUAGGAACUACAGCUCCUACUGUUUGUCAGAUAUGUUGGUCCAACACAUACUCACUUCCUCAACUGCAGUUGGUCACCAAGAGCGCUGUAAUUUGGACCAAGACUUUUGGAAGACUUCAACACUAAACCAAGCAUGUUAUUGCCUAGCUUAAGCACGGGGGAGGAGGGGGUGUAUUUCCCCUUCUGUGGCUGUGUUUCUGCAAGGUGCCCAAACACAAUAUAAAUGUCUGGAUUUAUACAACAUGGGCUUGACAGGGUUCAAAGGUGGGACCUGCUCAGCCUCCUGGUCCAAAAGCCUUGCCUCCCCCUGAGAGCCCAGCACCAGGUAAGACUGUAGGCUUGUGCCUCCAGCCCUGCUGCACUCUUAUUUUGUCUUCUAUUUGGGUUUUUGCUUCACUUCCCUUCAAGCAUUUGGCUCUAGGAUUUGGGGCAUCUCGUCUUUCACUUUGAAACUCUCUGUUCCUUCUAGCUAUUGAGCCACCUGGGAAUUACAGAUCCUAAGAGUUUGGAAACAAGAAGAUUAAAAAGAAAAAAAGCUGUCAAAAACUGUAUUGUCUUAAUUCCUGGAGGAGGCGGAUUGUAACUCAUGUUCUUGAAUACUGUGGUUAGGUGUUCAGCCCAGUUCUCCUGUAAGCGAAAAUUUUUUUUGUUUAUUUUGCCCUAUGAAGUAUUUGCCCAAGGACUUUCUUCUGUUCCCAGGUUAGUAGCAAUGCCUGUGGAGAAAGACUAACUGCUUCUUAAAAAAACUGCAUCAAAUCUGGGUGGAGGACACCGAUAAGCAGCCUGGCGUGGAGAGUUGGUGGGGGUGGUUUUGGAUGACUUAUUCCUCCUCAAGUGACACGAUCCCACACUGUACUUGUUCAACUCAGGCACGAACUUUCCCAAAACAAGGAAGUUUGGGUUCUGGGUUCAGCUGUGAGAGCUGAAUAUUGCUUUCCAGAUGGGUGUUUGUGCCCUUCCUUGAACAAAACCACAGUUCAGUCUUGGCCAUCGAGGCACCAGAUUUCUUCCUUGAUGCUUUCCCUGAUCCCCAGGAAUGCUCCCUGUCCCAGAGGGGCUGUGACCGGCUGCUUUGGGGGCUGUUUGUCUGACCUGUCUGCACAGGCUGCUGGAAAAGAAAGCGUCGAGAGGUGCACCUCUGGGCCAGGCCCUGGCAAGUGCUGUGGAUUUUUUUUUUUUUUUUCCUUCCCCCCUUGAACUUUGCUGAAAUGCACAGCCAUACUUCAGGACCUUCAAGGGCUGCUUCUCUAAUCUCCCCAGAAGGAUUACUGCUGCUGGAAAUCAUGAGGGCUUGGACUAGCUAUCAACUUUAUCAGGAAAGCUUCUUUCCGGCCAAGCUAGUAAGAGCUUUGCUAGGCGGGAAUCUUGGGUUGAAGCUGCUCUUCUCAUAUUUCACAGAUGGCCUCAAUGAAUGAUUUACUAGGAGAGUAAAAGAUUAGCCAGAUUCCUCCAACUGCAUCUCGAGUCAUAUAAAGCACUGGAUUUUAUUGGGGCCUAGGCAAUUCCUAAUUCUUUAGCCUUGUUAGACUGUUUUACAGUGACUAAUUGCCCUGUGUUCCCUUCCCUGAGAAUCAGGUGUCUCCUGGUGAGGAACGCAGUCUCCUCGCCUGAGCCUCACCCGCAGCUUUGGAACAGCCAUGCCAGUGAAGGCUUCUCCAUAUGGUCAGGUACCCAAAGACCACAAGACAUUAUGUCUCUAGUUGUCUUUUAUUGGAGAGGUUAGUAUGCUUCUGGGAGGGAGAUGGUAAAGGGAAUACUUAAAAUAUGCAAUGAGGUGUUUCCAUAAAAUUAUCAAAAGCUUUGCAGAAUCUUCCUAUGGAGAAGAGCCAUCGCUGGAGAGUUCACAUCUACAGGGGUUUGGGUAGGGCAAAAUCUCUUGCUUUAAUGUUUUAGCUAGUCUCCAGGGCUCAGAUGAGCUCUUCUGGGGGAAAGGAGAUUACCCCAUGUUUGCCUGUUAUGGAGUUUCUCACAUUUUUCUCCUUUACACUCGGCAGCCAGAACUCUGUGUCUCACUCUCCAUGGCAAUUCCUACAGAGUUUGGCUGUUUUAAAGGACUGCGGUACUGAUUUAGAUGUCCAAAUUGGAAAAGCAGGGUUUAAAGUGGACCCACUUUUUCCUUUAGAGUAAGACUUUUUAAAGAUCUUUUGUUAAAUUAUUUACCAGUGGUCUCACAAGAUCAACAGAUCUUUGCAUUUAAUCAUUUGCAUUCAUUUGCAUGACUUCCAUCAUGAUUUUCUCCCCUGUCCUCUAAAUAAAAAACAACCCUAAGAUCACUAAAGGGCUUGCGGGGAUGGGUUGCCCAUCGCUAUAGAUAUAUGAAGUGCACACACCAUAAAGUGUAAAGCAAUAUCGGCAUGUGCUGAUCUCAUGUAAACAGUCUUUCGUUUAUAGCAGUCAGAGAUGAGAGCUCUGAGACUCGCUGGGGGAUUCAACCCCUAGCAGAAAUGUUUAAAAUAUUUGGGUUUUAGCCAAGAGGCUAAGAAAAGAGGUUUUUCUAUCUUCCUUUUUCUCUGCUGUGAUUGCCUCACAUACAACACUAAAAGCUACGUAAGAAACAGGGAUGAGAAGAAACAGCUCUGACAGUCUCGUCCCUAAGGCAUCAAAAGAUGUUGAAGAUGCUCAGGCUGCCCCAGAAGUACAGAGAUAAUAAAACUUGCUACUUUUCCAAUUUCUGCAUCAUCAUUUAUACAUAUGAAUUGGAGCUGAACCUACUCCCCAGCGGUCUGUUUUGGUUGAACCUAUGGCAUAAAGGAGACAGAAGUAGCCCCUGGAGUCCCAUUGAUAAAAGCUCCCCCACCACAGUUCUUCAAGGCUAAAAUUUUGCCACAAGCUAUAGCAGGGUGAGGGAAGAGUUAUAAAAAGUACAGGAAUGCAAAAUUCUGUCCUCUUCUCAGUGAAGGUAGAAAUAAAAUGUGUGCGCAUGUUUCCGGGAUAGAACGUAAUCUACCAUCGGUUGUGUCUAGCAUAAAUGAACUGUGCAUUGGCAUCUGUUGUAUGUACAAUUUUUCAAGCAUAUCAGUUAGCAGAACAGAUCCUGCAUCAUUUAUUUUGAGAUGACUCUGUCCUCCCCACAAUGCAACUGACCUGUAGGAAUAGAAUAUUAUGACUAAACAUCACUUUAAAAGCAAAUGUGAUCCUUUGAUGUUUAAAAAAAAAAAAAAAAAAAAAGGUAGUAUUUGUCAAGCCUGUGUUUAUGAGGGCAACACCAAAUCUUGGAGGAUUACUCACCAUGGCAAUUUUUGAGGAUAUUAAGUCACUCACCCAGAUUUUAUCCAUAGACUGCCGGACCAGGGGGAUCCCUGGGGUUGCCUGAGUGUGAUCUCCCAUCAGUGACCAUCGAAGGUCUCGGAACCCUGAAAGACCUCAUCAGAGACUGUGCCUCCACUUCUCAUUGCCAAGCGGGUGAGGCCGUUGAUAAGGGUUUGAAAAGGCACAGUCAAAAGACGGAGGAAUUAACAGGAAGAAUUCAGAGUCAUGAGAAGAGACAUAAAAGUGAAUUUCCUUGAUUUUUUAAUAUCACUCAUUAUUUUUAGAUGUAUGAUCUUUUUGCCAGGUGCACCGAAUGGACGCCUGGGACCCUGACGUCUUACUCUGAACAGGCAUCAGGCCAUGAUUCCAGCCUUUUGCUGAGCAUCCCACCAUGUUUGAGUGUUUGGAAGUCUGUGUUGGCAAUGGUGGGACAGCUGUGCAAUAUACUGCUAUAAAACAUUCCUCUAGCAAUGUUGUCUCGCUUUUUAUUCUAUUCUUCCUGGAAACUGUUAUUGUCAAUGCAACAGCAGAUCUGCUCCUAUAGAAAGGGCUGUUCUCUGCGUGCCUGCCCUCAUCCACGCACAGUGACUGAAGAUACCCCUUUCCAAAACCAAACAGGAAUUGAAAAAAGUAAUGAGGUAAAAAGGAAAUGAAAUUGCUAAUGAAUUUAUGAGAUUACUUAAAAUGCUUAUUUCUCACCAAUUUUUAUUGCACUUUGUCAGGAUCCUGUCUGAGAGUGGCUGGGAGCACAGCAGCCCUGGCUUGCUCGCCAGCAUGAGGACGAUUGCUCAGCGGCAGAGACAGGCAAGGGUUCGAAAGGAAACAGCUGUGACCCCUUUUUGGAGCAUUUGCUCUUAUUCAUCCCCUUAGACGUAUCCCAAUAAAGGAAAUCUGGCUGGUUGUUAAUUUGAAAGCAUUUGUAGUGGUGAUGGCAUAAUAGAUAUGAAAGUUCACAGGACUCUGGCAACUACUAAUGUGUUGAGGCUUUCAGAUGAAAAAAUGAAAGCUGCCUGUAAAGGAUUCCCAUUUGUCAUGAAAACCCCACAAUACCAUGGGACAGCUGUUUGCCUGGGAUCUGUAUCUCAGAUGUAAGGAACCAGAACAGACAUGUGCUCUGUUGUACAAAGACCAUAACCCCAGAGACAGUGCUCUAGUACCUUCCUCUGGAGAUGGAUUUGGCGCUGCUGCAAGCAUGUCUGGAUAGCUGGCAGGAUCUGUUUUGGGAAGCAGGUCUCCUGUUGUCGUACAAGAGCACAAAGAGCAGCUCUGGAGCAGCUGUUAGCUACAGGCUUUCCACAGGCUGAGGUCUCUGGAUCAGAAACACUCUAUCUUCCACCAGCACAUCCCCCUGAACUGCCCCACACAUCAGCGAUCUCUCUUCAGGCAAGAAAACGUCGGUGACACUCACAAGCAACAAUCCUCGUUUCCUCCAGGCGCGGAUGCAGGCGGAGGGUAACACACCACUGCUGCAGCCAUCCCAGGUCGUGGAGUACCCACGCCAAGGGGGAGGGGGCAGCCCCAGGCACGCAGCGGGACAUAGGCAAAAGCUGUGUCUGGAGAUCCUCAAUUUUCCUCCAGCUGAACACGUUUGUUCACCUCACCCACUCUUUCGGAUAAAAGACGCUGUCCUGUGUUGCGGCUGAUGCGCUCACCAGGUUCAAUUCUCCGCGGUGGCAAUCCCAAGCUGUUGGGCAGGGGCUUCUCAUUUUUUCUCCUGUAGCAUAGAGCAGAUAAAUCAUUGUUAUUGCUCUGCCCUCUGCCUUGUUUCAGAGCAGCCUGCCUUCCCGCUGCGGAGAUGUGGUGAAGGGACGCAUGGGGCUGUGCAGCCAGAGGUGCCAGCUGCCAGAGCAGGCUGGAGAUUUCCAGUGCCUGCACUUUUCCUGCAGGACAAAAACCAGGUCUACACAACUACAACUGCACACAGGCAUGCAUUUACUUAUCUUUAUUUUCCGUUUUCCAAAACACACCUUGACCCAAGGGCUGACCCAGCUGGGGUUUACCAGCCUGCCAAGGAAGCAGUUCAAUGAAAUCUUGUGGAUCUUGGGGCAAAUACUGCUCACGGAGAACUUUCCAGGGCUCUGCUAUAAACUCAGCACGCCUGUCCCACCAGGUUCAGCCAGCCUUAGGUAGUGUCACCUCCUACAAUGCUGCUGAGGAGGCCACAGCAAUGUGCCCUCCCCAUGGGGACAGGUUGUUGGGGGUGACCAACAUCCAUCAGACCUGUAGCCGCCCCAAAAUAGAAAUAAACAAUUCAUGUUUAGUGUUGGUGCCAUUCACCUGGGGUGAACCCUACAUGCACCAACCGGCCUGUUGCUCUUUGCCGUGGCCAAAGCACCAUCUGACAGACAUCCCUGGGUUGGGGAAGAGCAUGGGGCAGGGCACAGCACACCCUGAACAGCUCCGAGUAACGUGCACGCCGUGUCACACGUAUGGUGUGAGGACCAAACUGAUGCUCGGCGUGGGAAGUUUGUGGAGCUGCUGGAAGAAAGCCAGCAGCCCGUGUCUGCUCGAGUUAGAAAAACGUCCCAGCGCUGGAUCCACCCAACUCAGCUAGAGCAGGGCUGCUUGGCCAGACGACAGGCCUGGCUCUCUCUCCAAAGUGGAUGAGAGCCAAAGGGGAUUUUUAAUUUCCAGAUGCUUUUAAAAUAAAAAUAAAGACUCUGCUGUAAACUGG